This is a small nuclear RNA of Perognathus longimembris pacificus (Pacific pocket mouse), 107 nucleotides long. Lineage: Eukaryota; Metazoa; Chordata; Mammalia; Rodentia; Heteromyidae. The record is from RefSeq and is a predicted model, not a curated record.
GUGCUCAUUUUGUCAACACAUAUAUUGGCAUUGGAAUGAUACAGAGAAGAUUAGCAUAAUCCCUGUUCAAGGAUGUCAUGUAAAUUCAUGAAAGAUAAAAAGAAAAU